RNAcentral lists this long non-coding RNA (203 nucleotides) under Elaeis guineensis (African oil palm). RNAcentral describes it as "long non-coding RNA (EGUI_LNC051591)". Lineage: Eukaryota; Viridiplantae; Streptophyta; Magnoliopsida; Arecales; Arecaceae. The record is from RNAcentral.
CCGCACCUCUUUCCCCAAGCUGGAGCCGAUCUUCACCAUGUGCUCUUCGUUCCCAUUAUUCAAAGGAAUUGAGACAAGAUCUUCCAUUGGCCCACCCCAUUCUUCAGUCAGGUCGUCACGGGUGUCCAAUCCAUCAACCGGACAGGGGUCAGGCUGACCACUUCUUUACAGGGCUAUAUUAUAGCAAUGCCUUGCCAGGGCUU